RNAcentral lists this ribosomal RNA (255 nucleotides) under uncultured bacterium. RNAcentral describes it as "partial 16S ribosomal RNA". It matches the Rfam family "Bacterial small subunit ribosomal RNA", at positions 524 to 776 of the family's 1533-position model. The record is from RNAcentral.
UACGAGGGGAGCAAGCGUUGUUCGGAUUUACUGGGCGUAAAGGGCGCGUAGGCGGUCGUGACAAGUCACUUGUGAAAUCUCCAGGCUCAACCUGGAGGGGUCAUUCGAUACUGCCGUGACUAGAGUUCGGUAGGGGAGUGUGGAAUUCCUGGUGGAGCGGUGAAAUGCGCAGAUAUCAGGAGGAACACCCGUAGCGAAGGCGGCACUCUGGGCCGAUACUGACACUGAGGAGCGAAAGCGUGGGGAGCGAACAGG